GAUGAACGCUAGCGGCAGGCCUAACACAUGCAAGUCGAGGGAGGAGCUUUCGGGCUUCGACCGGCGUACGGGUGCGUAACGUGUAUACAAUCUGCCUUUCACAUAGGGAUAGCCCGAAGAAAUUUGGAUUAAUACCUAAUGGUAUAUAGAGGUGGCAUCACCUUUAUAUUAAAGCUGAGGCGGUGAAAGAUGAGUAUGCGUUCUAUUAGCUAGUUGGAGAGGUAACGGCUCCCCAAGGCGACGAUAGAUAGGGGUUCUGAGAGGGAUAUCCCCCACACUGGUACUGAGAUACGGACCAGACUCCUACGGGAGGCAGCAGUGAGGAAUAUUGGACAAUGGUCGGAAGACUGAUCCAGCCAUGCCGCGUGCAGGAAGACGGCCUUAUGGGUUGUAAACUGCUUUUGCAGGGGAAGAAUAAGGACUACGCGUAGUUUGAUGACGGUACUCUGCGAAUAAGCAUCGGCUAACUCCGUG
Molecule: ribosomal RNA, 474 nt
Filed under: uncultured bacterium
Lineage: Bacteria
Description: partial 16S ribosomal RNA
Rfam family: Bacterial small subunit ribosomal RNA
Source: RNAcentral